AACUGUGAUGGAACUCUGCACCUCGUGGCAAGGUCCCCCUCGACGUCGUUCAAGCACGGAUGACGUGACGACGGCAAUGCUGCCCGCCACCCGU
This 94-nucleotide non-coding RNA is filed under the name Platyophrya macrostoma. Lineage: Eukaryota; Ciliophora; Colpodea; Cyrtolophosidida; Platyophryidae. The record is from RNAcentral.